CUUUCUUUGCUGGCGACCGGCGCACGGGUGAGUAACACGUAUCCAACCUGCCCUUUACUCGGGGAUAGCCUUUCGAAAGAAAGGUUAAUACCCGAUAGCAUAAUGAUUCCGCAUGGUUUCAUUAUUAAAGGAUUCCGGUAAAGGAUGGGGAUGCGUUCCAUUAGGUUGUUGGUGAGGUAACGGCUCACCAAGCCUUCGAUGGAUAGGGGUUCUGAGAGGAAGGUCCCCCACAUUGGAACUGAGACACGGUCCAA
This 254-nucleotide ribosomal RNA is filed under the name uncultured bacterium. RNAcentral describes it as "partial 16S ribosomal RNA". It matches the Rfam family "Bacterial small subunit ribosomal RNA", at positions 79 to 334 of the family's 1533-position model. The record is from RNAcentral.